AUUGAACGCUGGCGGCAGGCCUAACACAUGCAAGUCGGGCGAGCGGCGUACGGGUGAGUAAUGCCUGGGUAUUGCCCAGUCGAGGGGGAUAACAGUUGUAAACGACUGCUAAUACCACAUACGAUUGGCAUGCCCAGGUGGGAUUAGCUAGUUGGUUAGGUAAUGGCUCACUAAGGCGACUAUCCCUACCUGGUCUGAGAGGUUGACCGCCAACACUGGAACUGUGACACGGUCCAGACUCCUACGGGAGGCAGCAGUGGGGAAUAUUGCAAAAUGGGGGAAACCCGGAUGCGGCAAUGCCGCGUGGGUGAAGAGGGCCUUCGGGUUGUAAAGCAUUUUCUGAGAGGAGGCGUUACUCGCCGAAGAAGCAACGGCUAACUCCGUGCCAGCAGCCGCGGUAAUAC
RNAcentral lists this ribosomal RNA (404 nucleotides) under uncultured bacterium. Its description in RNAcentral is "partial 16S ribosomal RNA". It matches the Rfam family "Bacterial small subunit ribosomal RNA", at positions 30 to 526 of the family's 1533-position model. The record is from RNAcentral.